UGAACCUCUGUUGAAUAGAGCACAGAAAAAAUAGAUGUUGGAUCUGUUUCUAGAACAUAAUGGGAAUUGUACAAAAGAGGGAAUGAAAGACAUUCAGUACUACACUAUAGGUGUUUUAGUAUCGUAUAAAAAAGAGGAUGUAAAGAAUAUCAUAGGAACGGUUAAUACGCACAGCUGACAGAUAAGUUUUUUUCGGGUUACCAAUGUCUGAUAUUAUGUUAUUACCAACUUGCAGAUCCUUUUGUGUGUUCAUUCAUUAGACACUGUUUAUAAAGAGUUACCCAGCUAAUUCUGUUUUUGGCAAAUCCAGCUAAUCGGUUACAUCAACGUUACCAGCUAACAUUAAUUAAGGAAGCGUUGUAAUAUCAAAGUCUGUGAAAUGAAAGGUUAGGAUGGUAUCAAGCAAAUGUUGAAUAAAGGGCCGAGAAGUUUUCAUCAAAGGACUUUGAAGUGAGCUUAAAGAUGACAGAGGCUGAUCAUCUGCGCUGAUUCCAAGUAGAUCGAGGCACUCCCGGUCCCAUAGAAGGAAAGGAGCAUUGCCAUCCAAGUCCACAACCCUAACCUUAAUUCUGUACCUGAGUGUCCCGUCACCCCAAUUUCGAUCACAUGUACUACACCAUAGCCACUUUCCUUUGAGUUUCAGUUUUUUGUUGCACCCCUUUGUUCUACAGGAAGCAUAGUACCACUCUGGAUCAUCAAUGAAUACAAUCCUAGCUGCCACCCAAAAAUCGCCAAACUGCAUCAUAUGAAAGAAUGUAUGUGGACAAAAACACAAGACCUGAAAGCAAAUUAGUGGACUGCUCACUGGUGGAAUAUCAACAAUUAGUGGACUAUCAACAAUUAACACCAUAGCUGAAAGAG
This is a long non-coding RNA of Ipomoea nil (Japanese morning glory), 861 nucleotides long. RefSeq lists it as uncharacterized. The record is from RefSeq and is a predicted model, not a curated record. NCBI's taxonomy places the organism in Eukaryota, Viridiplantae, Streptophyta, Magnoliopsida, Solanales, Convolvulaceae. The transcript has 5 exons.